Molecule: long non-coding RNA, 353 nt
Organism: Anopheles arabiensis
Lineage: Eukaryota; Metazoa; Arthropoda; Insecta; Diptera; Culicidae
Exons: 3
Source: RefSeq, a predicted model, not a curated record
UGCGUGUGUGCGGCGUGUUGAUUUGACUCGCUACUACUGCUGUUUCUACUGCUGCCGUUAUACGUGUUUUUUUUUUCAAUCGCCUAUCAAACACAUCGGCUAACACAGCCCGGCCAGAACGAGAUAGCAGAUCGCGCACAUGCACGAGAUUCUGUACCUUUUACCUUGUUUGGGGUUUGUACGCUCAACAAUCCAUGGCUAAAACGGCAUGGCUCUCUUUACCUAAAACGGUGCUAGAACUGGCGUCGAUUUGGAGUUCUAGAAUCGCCGAGAUGCUUCCUUCGAAAGAGCUCUAGCCGAUGCUCCGUCUGUUCAAACAGCGAUCACCACUGUAUUAGUGAACAUAAUAAAUU